AGAACUUAGCAGAGAUGCUUUGGUGCCUUCGGGAACUCUGAGACAGGUGCUGCAUGGCUGUCGUCAGCUCGUGUUGUGAAAUGUUGGGUUAAGUCCCGCAACGAGCGCAACCCUUAUCCUUUGUUGCCAGCGGCUCAGCCGGGAACUCAAAGGAGACUGCCGGUGAUAAACCGGAGGAAGGUGGGGAUGACGUCAAGUCAUCAUGGCCCUUACGGCCAGGGCUACACACGUGCUACAAUGGCGCAUACAAAGAGAAGCGACCUCGCGAGAGCAAGCGGACCUCACAAAGUGCGUCGUAGUCCGGAUUGGAGUCUGCAACUCGACUCCAUGAAGUCGGAAUCGCUAGUAAUCGUAGAUCAGAAUGCUACGGUGAAUACGUUCCCGGGCCUUGUACACACCGCCCGUCACACCAUGGGAGUGGGUUGCAAAAGAAGUAGGUAGCUUAACCUUCGGGAGGGCACUUACCACUUUGUGAUUCAUGACUGGGGUGAAGUCGUAACAAGGUAGGCGUAGCGAG
This 517-nucleotide ribosomal RNA is filed under the name uncultured bacterium. RNAcentral's name for it is "bacterial SSU rRNA". It matches the Rfam family "Bacterial small subunit ribosomal RNA", at positions 992 to 1509 of the family's 1533-position model. The record is from RNAcentral.